AGAGUUUGAUCCUGGCUCAGGACGAACGCUGGCGGCGUGCUUAACACAUGCAAGUCGAACGAGACGAUUGAAAGCUUGCUUUUGAAAGUCGAGUGGCAAACGGGUGAGUAACGCGUAGACAACCUGCCGUAAAGAUGGGGACAACAGUCCGAAAGGACUGCUAAUACCGAAUGUUGUAAAUCUUCUGCAUGGGAGACUUACUAAAGGUGGCCUCUACUUGUAAGCUAUCGCUUUACGAUGGGUCUGCGUCUGAUUAGCUGGUUGGUGGGGUAACGGCCUACCAAGGCAACGAUCAGUAGCCGGUCUGAGAGGAUGAACGGCCACAUUGGAACUGAGACACGGUCCAGACUCCUACGGGAGGCAGCAGUGGGGAAUCUUCCGCAAUGGGCGCAAGCCUGACGGAGCAACGCCGCGUGAGUGAAGAAGGUUUUCGACUCGUAAAGCUCUGUUGUCGGGGACGAACGUGGAGACGGCGAAUAGCCGUUUCCAAUGACGGUACCUGACGAGGAAGCCACGGCUAACUACGUGCCAGCAGCCGCGGUAAUACGUAGGUGGCGAGCGUUGCCCGGAAUUAUUGGGCGUAAAGGGAGCGCAGGCGGGAAGGUAAGUCUAUCUUAAAAGUGCGGGGCUCAACCCCGUGAGGGGAUGGAAACUAUCUUUCUUGAGUGCAGGAGAGGAAAGCGGAAUUCCUAGUGUAGCGGUGAAAUGCGUAGAUAUUAGGAGGAACACCAGUGGCGAAGGCGGCUUUCUGGACUGUAACUGACGCUGAGGCUCGAAAGUGUGGGUAGCAAACAGGAUUAGAUACCCUGGUAGUCCACACUGUAAACGAUGAUUACUAGGUGUUGGAGGAUUGACCCCUUCAGUGCCGCAGUUAACACAAUAAGUAAUCCACCUGGGGAGUACGACCGCAAGGUUGAAACUCAAAGGAAUUGACGGGGGCCCGCACAGGCAGUGGAGUAUGUGGUUUAAUUCGACGCAACGCGAAGAACCUUACCAAGUCUUGACAUCCCUUGACGAUGCUGGAAACAGUAUUUCUCUUCGGAGCAAGGAGACAGGUGGUGCAUGGUUGUCGUCAGCUUGUGUCGUGAGAUGUUGGGUUAAGUCCCGCAACGAGCGCAACCCUUAUGGUCAGUUACUACGCAAGAGGACUCUGGCCAGACUGCCGUUGACAAAACGGAGGAAGGUGGGGAUGACGUCAAAUCAUCAUGCCCUUUAUGACUUGGGCUACACACGUACUACAAUGGCGUUAAACAAAGAGAAGCAAGACCGCGAGGUGGAGCAAAACUCAGAAACAACGUCCCAGUUCGGACUGCAGGCUGCAACUCGCCUGCACGAAGUCGGAAUUGCUAGUAAUCGCAGAUCAGCAUGCUGCGGUGAAUACGUUCCCGGGCCUUGUACACACCGCCCGUCACACCAUGAGAGCCGGGGGGACCCGAAGUCGGUAGUCUAACCGCAAGGAGGACGCCGCCGAAGGUAAAACUGGUGAUUGGGGUGAAGUCGUAACAAGGUA
RNAcentral lists this ribosomal RNA (1510 nucleotides) under metagenome. Its description in RNAcentral is "bacterial SSU rRNA". It matches the Rfam family "Bacterial small subunit ribosomal RNA". The record is from RNAcentral.